CAGGUCUUGACAUCCUCUGACAACUCUAGAGAUAGAGCGUUCCCCUUCGGGGGACAGAGUGACAGGUGGUGCAUGGUUGUCGUCAGCUCGUGUCGUGAGAUGUUGGGUUAAGUCCCGCAACGAGCGCAACCCUUGAUCUUAGUUGCCAGCAUUCAGUUGGGCACUCUAAGGUGACUGCCGGUGACAAACCGGAGGAAGGUGGGGAUGACGUCAAAUCAUCAUGCCCCUUAUGACCUGGGCUGCACACGUGCUACAAUGGACGGUACAAAGAGUCGCGAGACCGCGAGGUGGAGCUAAUCUCAUAAAACCGUUCUCAGUUCGGAUUGUAGGCUGCAACUCGCCUACAUGAAGCCGGAAUCGCUAGUAAUCGCGGAUCAGCAUGCCGCGGUGAAUACGUUCCC
RNAcentral lists this ribosomal RNA (401 nucleotides) under uncultured bacterium. RNAcentral's name for it is "bacterial SSU rRNA". It matches the Rfam family "Bacterial small subunit ribosomal RNA", at positions 975 to 1375 of the family's 1533-position model. The record is from RNAcentral.